UAGUGAGUGGCGAACGGGUGAGUAACACGUGAGUAACCUGCCCUCUUCUUUGGGAUAACGCCCGGAAACGGGUGCUAAUACUGGAUAUUCACUGAUCUUCGCAUGGGGGUUGGUGGAAAGGUUUUUUCUGGUGGGGGAUGGGCUCGCGGCCUAUCAGCUUGUUGGUGGGGUGAUGGCCUACCAAGGCUUUGACGGGUAGCCGGCCUGAGAGGGUGACCGGUCACAUUGGGACUGAGAUACGGCCCAG
Molecule: ribosomal RNA, 247 nt
Filed under: uncultured bacterium
Lineage: Bacteria
Description: partial 16S ribosomal RNA
Rfam family: Bacterial small subunit ribosomal RNA
Source: RNAcentral